RNAcentral lists this ribosomal RNA (253 nucleotides) under uncultured bacterium. RNAcentral describes it as "partial 16S ribosomal RNA". It matches the Rfam family "Bacterial small subunit ribosomal RNA", at positions 524 to 776 of the family's 1533-position model. The record is from RNAcentral.
UACGUAGGUGGCAAGCGUUGUCCGGAUUUACUGGGCGUAAAGGGCGUGCAGGCGGUUUGUUAAGUCUAGGGUGAAAGCUCCCGGCUCAACUGGGAGAGGUCCUUGGAUACUGGCAGACUUGAGGAGGGUAGAGGAGAGUGGAAUUCCCGGUGUAGUGGUGAUAUGCGUAGAUAUCGGGAGGAACACCAAUGGCGAAGGCAGCUCGCUGGGACGGUACUGACGCUGAGGCGCGAAAGCGUGGGGAGCAAACAGG